CCACUUGCACGUUCACUCAUAUAUGCUGCUUCUACUCCAGAAGUACGCAUCCACAUACAUCCACUCAUUUCCAUCUCUAGAUCCACCUAAAAUUAUUCUAGUCCUAUCCGGGAGAGAAUAACCAAAAACAUUCUCCUAUCCCUGUUAUUCCCUAUGAAAUAAAUGCUCAAGUUAUCUUGGUUACUACCACUUGCUAUAUUAUUCUAGGGAGAUGAGUGCUCUGAAGCAAAAAUGAAUACGAGGAAAUAAAAAGGGGCAAGUGCCCAGAAUCUCGAAGAAAAAAAAAAGUGAGACGAGAGGUAAAAAUGGACAAGUGUCCGACAGUAAAGUUAGGGGUACAAGAGACCCACCUGAGAGAAAAGAAAAAUAUAUAUAUAGAGAGAGCAGCUCAUUCUCCUCAAAAAGCUUCAAAGUGCAAGGAAGGUAUGUAUCCCAUUAAAAGAGCAAAAGUAGAAUUAGACUUUGACCAUUGUUAUCACCAUUGUUGACGGUUCUUAAGUAUCAAUUUUAAUUAUGAAAUAAACCAAAAAAAAGGACUAAUAUACAAAUAACACCUAGAAUUAGGGUUUGAUCUCACAGAAUUCCAUUAGUUUUGCUGUUUAUCUAUUUCUGCAGGGGGUUAUUAGGAAAUAUGGAAGAAAGGCCCAC
RNAcentral lists this long non-coding RNA (648 nucleotides) under Sorghum bicolor (sorghum). RNAcentral's name for it is "long non-coding RNA (SBIC_LNC002628)". The record is from RNAcentral. Lineage: Eukaryota; Viridiplantae; Streptophyta; Magnoliopsida; Poales; Poaceae.